CCGGUCGAUACAGAAGUUGAAAGUGAAUCAACGCGGUGGUCAAGAAGCUAAACAGGAGAAUCUUGGAAAAUGACGAGCCCCCGUACAAUAUGAUCGGGUUGACGGAUAUCAACGUAGAUUCAAAACCACGGUUGACAAGAUGUCAAUCGUCCUUUUACGCCAGCAUAAAAUAGCACUUGCAAAUGUAUCAGUUGUAAGAUUGUUCGCUGCACCGUAUGUGCCUCUUUUCAUUGAUUGGACAGUCUGCAUUCCCUAAUCUUCUACUUUCGAGAUUUCCUCAAAACCCUUUUCCAUCUCUCUCUCUCUCUCUCUCUCCCUUUCGCUCUCUCUCUCUCCCACCCUCUCUCUCUCCCUCUCGCUCACUGCUGACGUUUAAAAUCGCCACAGAAUUCACCUCCCGGCUGUGAUGUUAACUUGCUCAGGAUGUGCGGCUCGCGCGCCUGUUUGAUGCCUGAUUUUACUCUGCAUCCCCACCAAUGGGGAUCUCAAUUGUUUGGAAUGCAAUUUGAGGCAACCAGCCGGAACAUGGUAACGGUGGCUACGGGCAGAUGAGGUUGAAAUCGGCGAUACGUUUUACCUCACGUUUUAAACAUGUUGGAAGUUAUUUAGCAUCUGCUUAUCUGCUAUUCCAUUCAGGCUACAGUUUGCAGUUAAUGAACUUAAAUUACCAAAGACAUCUAAAACGUACCCAUUAAGACGUUUCCAACGUAGGUUGCUUCCUUGGUUUCGUUUCAUUUGGAGAGAUGGGCUAUUAUUACCUAUGUAUUUCACCUGACUGUACCAGCUGUGCUGAUGCCCCUUCUGCCGGCAUUUCACACUCCAGCCUCUGUCCAUUGAACUUGAAGUGGUGUAAUCGGUUGGGACGUGUAUCAGUAGUUUUCAAAUGGACAAAUGUAGCUAUGAGCGCCCUUUCAGAGCAUGGUGGGAAAUAUAACCAGUGGGUAGGCAUGAUGGGUAGGUAGCCAGUACUACGGGAACCAGCUGAUGAUCAUAAGCCAUGAACUCAGUGGCCUUCACAAGGCCUUACGGAGACAAGGGAACAGGCAGGGAGUCAUUAGACCCAAGGCAUGAACCAACCUCCAGAGACCAGCGCGGGAUUAGAGAGGACAACUGCAGCACAAGGCAUCCCUGUCAUAGAGUAAUUUACGUGAAAUAUGUGCUCAAGAAACAGCAGCGAUCGAAGACUACAGCAAGCAGCCUUUUGCUAUGUGAGAACCAAGGGCUAUUAAAUUGUGACACAGACUUUGAAUUCCAUUGGAAAGCAACCAGGGUGAUCUCUUCCUCGCAUGUGCUUGAAUGAAACUUUGCUUACUGGAACUCUCAGACUUGAGUGGGGCCUUACUCUACAACAGACCAAUCAGCGGUUGAGUUUCUGAUUGCUGGAACGCCGCGGCGGUUGUUCCCUUAUGCUAGUGUCGGGAAAGGUCUGGGAUGAAAUGCACAAAAACCAGGUGAAACGAACAUGCUACAGGAAAUCACCACCACGCGCCUGUCCGUCACAAGGGAAUAGAUUGAAUUAGCUAUUAAUUUCUAAAAUGGGUGAGCCGCCCGCUCGGGCGAUAUUUUUCAUCGCUUUGUGAGGAAUUUAAUUCGUUGUUGAGUACUGCUGAAAAAUCAGUUACACUAUGGAAGCUUUUAGCCCUGCAUUCAUCAGGACACUUUCACAAGAAUACCAAGUUGUAAAGGGAGCAGCAAAUGAUACUGCAUGGAGGAGGCGCUGGCACAUUUUUGAACUCGUUCAUGGGGUUUGAUUGAUCCCUAAUUGCCUUAGUUCACAGGGCAUCUAAGAGUCAAAAACGUUGCUGUGGGCCUAGAGUCACAUGGAGGGCAGACCAGGUAAGGACAGCAAUGUAUUUUUACAGCAAUCGUUUAAUCUGAUAUAUUUAAAAUUGAAUUCAAGGCGCCCCCCUCAUAGAUUAAGCCAAGGAUUGGACCCCGAGUCCGCAGAGGAUUAUGCUGGGUCCCUGAUAUAGCCACAAUGGAACUACGCCACCAUCGCCACGUUUCUGAGGUUGGAUAUCCAAAGGCCCAGGACAAUGCUCUGGAUACCCGCAGGUGGUGGGAUUUGAAUCGAUUCAGCAAAAAUCGGAUUACCAUGAAAUCUUGUCGACAUCGAAGAAACCAUUGUCGAUUGCUCUAAAAACCAGCUCUUUCGCUUAUGCUCUCAGCUGGUCUUACCUACCUGUGAUUCCAGACCGAAAGCUACGUGGUUGACUUUUAAAUGUCCCCUGAAACGGUCCAGCGCGCACACCUGUGGUAUCACACCGCUAGAAAUUCCAUAAGACACGCAGGCAGUGGUGGUGUGCUUACAUCACAUGGAAUGCAUUGCUUUAAGAAGACAGCUCACCACCACCUUCUCACGGUCGAUUAGGGAUGGGCAAUGGGUUUGGCCGAGCCAACAAUACCCACGUCCCGUGAUUGAAGAAUAACACAUGAGAAGACCGUGCCGAUUGUUUGCCAAGUGGGCUGAGACUGAUAGAGGCGUCGCCAUGGAGAUGCCAGUGGGGGAUAGUUAACUGCCAAGCCAUUCUUUAAGUCCAAGACAGGCAAAAUGAAAUGAUUCCGCAUCAUGUCUCUUUCUUAAGCAAAUGACAAGCUCUGUAAUGCCAAGCGACCUUCAUUACUCUGGGUUCCAUCUUGAUUGCAUUGAAAACUAUGAAUUCUCGCAAUAUAUUU
This is a long non-coding RNA of Carcharodon carcharias (great white shark), 2676 nucleotides long. RefSeq lists it as uncharacterized. The transcript has 3 exons. The record is from RefSeq and is a predicted model, not a curated record. Lineage: Eukaryota; Metazoa; Chordata; Chondrichthyes; Lamniformes; Lamnidae.